Molecule: long non-coding RNA, 930 nt
Filed under: Hordeum vulgare
Lineage: Eukaryota; Viridiplantae; Streptophyta; Magnoliopsida; Poales; Poaceae
Description: long non-coding RNA (HVUL_LNC018499)
Source: RNAcentral
UCAUCGUCGUACCACGAUCCGUUCUGAUCUAGCGCCUAACGGACGACACCUCCGCGUUCAGUACACGUACAACUCGAUGACGAUCUCUGCCUUCUUGAUCCAGCAAGAGAGACAGGGAACUAGAUGAGUUCUCUGGCAGCGUGACAACGCACCGGUGAUGGUGAUGAUCUAUUCUUGCAAGGCUCCGCCCGAGCUCCGCAGAAAUCCGAUCUAGAGGAAGAACUACGUGGUAUAGGUUUAAGUUGCACAUGGCAAAGUUGUGUCUCAAAAGCCCUAAAACCACCAAUAUAUAUAGGAGGAGGGGAGGGGCUAGCCUUGGGGAUCAAGGGAGCCCCAAGGGCGCCGGCCGAAGGGAGGAGGUGGACUCCCACCCCAAUUCGGUUUGGGGGAAGGAGUUCACUCCUUCCUUCCCACCUCCCUCUUUCGUUUUUAUUUCUUUCCUUUGGUAUUUUCUCCUUGUGGCGCCAUAGCCCACUUGGGCUGGCCUCACCAGCCCACUAAGGGCUGGUGCGCCACCCUAGUGCUAUUGGGCUCAAUACUGGGUGGGUGGGCCCCUCCCGGCGAAUACCUGGAACCCAUUCGUCACUCCUAGUACACUGUCGGUAAUGCCCGAAAUCUUUCCGGUGACCAAAUGAAACCAUCCUAUAUAUCAAUCUUCGUUUCUGGACCAUUCCGUAAACCCUAGUGACGUCCGUGAUCUCAUCCGGGACUCCUAACAACCUUCGAUCACCAACACAUAUAACUCAACUAUACUAAAACGUCACCGAACCUUAAGUGUGCAGACCCUGCGGGUUCGAGAACUAUGCAGACAUGACCUGAGACACUCCUCGGUCAAUAUCCAAUAGCGGGACCUGGAUGUCCAUAUUGGAUCCUACAUAUUCUAUGAAGAUCUUAUCGGUUGAACCUCUGUGCCAAGGAUUCAUAUAAUCC